RNAcentral lists this ribosomal RNA (465 nucleotides) under uncultured bacterium. RNAcentral's name for it is "partial 16S ribosomal RNA". It matches the Rfam family "Bacterial small subunit ribosomal RNA", at positions 28 to 507 of the family's 1533-position model. The record is from RNAcentral.
GACGAACGCUGGCGGCGUGCUUAACACAUGCAAGUCGAACGGAAAGGCCCUGCUUGCAGGGUACUCGAGUGGCGAACGGGUGAGUAACACGUGGGUUAUCUGCCCUGCACUUCGGGAUAAGCCUGGGAAACUGGGUCUAAUACCGGAUAGGAGCCAUCUUUAGUGUGAUGGUUGGAAAGUUUUUUCGGUGUAGGAUGAGCUCGCGGCCUAUCAGCUUGUUGGUGGGGUAAUGGCCUACCAAGGCGGCGACGGGUAGCCGGCCUGAGAGGGUGGACAGCCACAUUGGGACUGAGAUACGGCCCAGACGCCUACGGGAGGCAGCAGUGGGGAAUAUUGCACAAUGGGCGCAAGCCUGAUGCAGCGACGCCGCGUGGGGGAUGACGGCCUUCGGGUUGUAAACUCCUUUCGCUAGGGACGAAGCUUUUUGUGACGGUACCUAGAUAAGAAGCACCGGCUAACUACGUG